UUUCAAUUUAAGGUUGUUUUUUUUUUAAAUAACAUGGACUUUUAAAAUAUCUUUGUUUAAAAUUUUUUUUUUAAUGUUUUUUUUUUUUUAAAUUGAAUUUUGGGCUUUAAGUUCAACAAUCUCUACAAAGUUUUAAUGUCUGAAGCAAAUAGUUGCCAAAGUUGGCUAGUCUCAUAGUAAGGUACAGCAAAGUGAAAGUUCAAAGCUGGUUUCAUAAUAAGAGAUAAAGUAGAAGUUGGUUGAUGAUGAGAUAGAAUAGAAGUUAAUUAAUGAUGAAGUAGAAUAAAUAAGGUAGAAGUUCAUUGAUGAUGAGGUAGAAGAGAUGAUUGAAACUCAUUCUUCAUCUGAUGAUCUGAUUGCGAAGAUUCCAGGACAUUGUUGAAACACUCAAAGAAAAGAAGUUAAAAAAAGAAUACCAGAAGAUUAACAGAAGAAUAGCAGAAUGUUUAUAUUAAUUGCUUAAAAUUUUUAAUGAUAUUUAUGUAAUAUAUUUAUUAUAUGGUGUGUAUUAUUGUUUGUUAUUAUUCCUUUUUUUUUUUUGUAAUUAUCAGAGACAAG
Long non-coding RNA from Hydra vulgaris (swiftwater hydra), 558 nucleotides. RefSeq lists it as uncharacterized. Lineage: Eukaryota; Metazoa; Cnidaria; Hydrozoa; Anthoathecata; Hydridae. The record is from RefSeq and is a predicted model, not a curated record.